AUGGCAGACGAUCCUAAUCAAAACUUCGGGCCGUUUUCGCAGCCAUUCUGCAGCCAGAAUGUGGUUUCAUUUCAGACGUGCGCGACGCCCAGCGGGUCGGGAGGCAGCAUGCCGGUGUACCUAGACUGCUCCAGCAGCAUGGGGUCUAACAUGGGGAUGAUGAACACCACGCCUUCAGUAGCUGUCUCCACAAGUUCAUCCAACAUGGUUGCUGAAUCUGCGCAGAACCUCAAAUAUGGAGGACCCCUAGCUGAAAGCUGGUCGCAUCUCGAGAUCCAAGUGCUGAAAGAUUGCCUAGAUAGAUAUGUGAAUGAACAUGGUAUCAUGAAGUACAUAAAGAUAGCCGCUUCCCUACCAACCAAGACGGUGAGGGAUGUCGCGAUGAGAUGCCAAUGGAUGGGGAACAAACAAACUACAAGACGGCGGAGGCCUGCAGAACAUCAUAGCAGAAAAAUGAAAGAUAGAAAGGAUAAAAUGGUGGGGCCUUCAUCCUGGGGUACCACUCAUCCUGUUCAGACAGAUACAGGAGUCUCUUCCUUUGUGCCGCAUCAUGCCAUUCAAAACAGUCAAUAUCUAUCUGGAGCCUCUGAGAUGGAUCGUAUAGUACAGCUUGUACUGGAAGAAAAUAAUCGGCUUCUUGCUCAGAUAGACACAAAUAUUCAAACAUUUCAGGCUCAAAAUAACAACGAUCUCUUCAAUCGCGUGAGAAGGAACAUUGAUGGCCUUUUGAAAAUCAUGAGCCAAAUGCCGGGAAAAAUGAGUCAGAUGCCUCAGUUGGGAGUUGCGGUGAAUGAAAACCUUGCCAGUUACUUGCUCCCAGAUCUUACAAUGGCACAAGUUCUUGGAAAUAGCCAUUUGAAGGAGGAGCCAAGAGGAUGGUGA
Molecule: ribosomal RNA, 882 nt
Filed under: Triticum aestivum (bread wheat)
Lineage: Eukaryota; Viridiplantae; Streptophyta; Magnoliopsida; Poales; Poaceae
Description: partial small subunit ribosomal RNA
Source: RNAcentral